AACACAGCAGUAAAGGAGGCUGGUUACCUCACACAGCAGUAAUGGAGGUCCAUUACUGCUGUGUGAGGUAACCAGCCUCCUUUACUGCUGUGUU
Non-coding RNA from Pelobates cultripes (western spadefoot toad), 94 nucleotides. The record is from the annotation of a GenBank genome assembly. NCBI's taxonomy places the organism in Eukaryota, Metazoa, Chordata, Amphibia, Anura, Pelobatidae.